Molecule: long non-coding RNA, 506 nt
Organism: Sander lucioperca (pikeperch)
Lineage: Eukaryota; Metazoa; Chordata; Actinopteri; Perciformes; Percidae
Exons: 3
Source: RefSeq, a predicted model, not a curated record
CCAAACUAACACGCAUUUUAAAAAAUGCAGGCAAAGAUAUGUGCCUCUCAGUGAGCUUUGGCGCCAUGCGAACAGUGUGGAGCUUGUCGAGCGCAUAAAAGUUAUGAAGAUAUUAUUAGUUAUCAAGAUAUGAUGCCAAAGAACAUCUUUGCCUUGGAUCUAAGGAUGUAAAUAAAUAUGACCUGACCAUACUUAAAGAAGUUGUUCCUGAUAGACUUCAGUAGGUGAGGGACAUCGAACACCACAGGAACCCUCUGAACCCCCACCAGAAUGCAGUGGGAAUCCUCGCCACCCAGAGCAUCCAGGGUGGCCCCAACUUCCGAAUGGCAUCCUUAAUGAUGCUGGCAAUUUCCACGGCUGGCAUGGAACUGGGGGAGAAGAAAUAACCCAUGGCCUGUUGAAGGACAAAGUUUUUGGUAAAUGUUUUUAAUAUACACAGCAAAAAAUAAAUAAAUGUUGGUCUUAAAAACAACAAAAAAUGUUGUUGUUGGCUUGCCUGUUUCCAC